UGCCCUGGGUAGCUUAGCGGUGAGCUACAGGUGUCAGUUGUUUCGUAGGUUGAGCAACUGUCGUGGGUUCGAAUCCUACCUGGGCAC
This is a non-coding RNA of Pseudohyphozyma bogoriensis, 87 nucleotides long. The record is from the annotation of a GenBank genome assembly. NCBI's taxonomy places the organism in Eukaryota, Fungi, Basidiomycota, Microbotryomycetes, Chrysozymaceae.